GGGUGAGACUCCCGUCUGUGCCUCAGGUUGACAGUUUUUGAAGGUACUCUCAACGAGUCGAGUUGCUUGGGAUUGCAGCUCAAAGUGGGUGGUAAAUUCCAUCUAAAACUAAAUAUUGGUGGGAGACCGAUAGCGCACAAGUACCGUGAGGGAAAGAUGCAAAGAACUUUGAAAAGAGAGUUAAAGAGUACCUGAAAUUGCUGAAAUGUAAGCGAAGGAAACCAGUGCCGGUUUUGUAGUAUAUUUCCUGGUCCACUUGUGGACUGGGCGCUGUGCUAUGAAGUGGGUCAUCGUCGGUUCGGACCGCCAGAAACGGUGCAGGAGGAUGUGGCCCCUUUGGGGUGUUAUAUUUUCUGUAUUUAAUGGUGGUCUGGGCCGUGGCAAUCACGCAAGUGCUCGUGUCGAUGACAAAAUGGUUUUCUUUAUCCCGUCUUGAAACACGGACCAAGGAGUCUAAC
Molecule: ribosomal RNA, 458 nt
Filed under: Minchinia chitonis
Lineage: Eukaryota; Endomyxa; Ascetosporea; Haplosporida; Haplosporidiidae
Description: partial Eukaryotic large subunit ribosomal RNA
Rfam family: Eukaryotic large subunit ribosomal RNA
Source: RNAcentral